Molecule: long non-coding RNA, 810 nt
Filed under: Homo sapiens (human)
Lineage: Eukaryota; Metazoa; Chordata; Mammalia; Primates; Hominidae
Description: HSALNT0344337
Source: RNAcentral
CCCACCCUGAGCUCCUCCCCUAACUCCCCAAAACAUUGGGAAGAUGGGCCUUCUGUCCUGGAAGGGCCAGUCUCCUGGGCAGAGCGCUAUGCAUAAGAAGGAAAGCCGUGUUACUCAAUGGUUCUACUGAACCACUAAGCAACAGGGGCUCUGGGGGCACUGUGGAGAUAGAGAACCCUUAGGAAGGCGAUGCUGGAUCCUAUGGGUCUCAACAGAGGGCCUUACGGGUAGGCCCUGUAGGAGGGACUGGGAGGCACAGGUCCCAGGAACACGUGUGCUGGGCACACGUGAGUACAUGCAGGGUCAAAGCUGGCAGGCAGACGGGUUGAGCCUCUCCGUGCUCCCACGGGGUCUGCAUCAGAUUUUGCACUUAGCAAGCGAAUUUGCUUCCCAGGGCCACUGUAACAACCAACCACGAAUGGGAGGCUCAACACAACUGAAACGCACGUCCUCACAGUCCUGGAGGCCCGAACUCCAAAACCAAGGCGCCAGCAGGGCCACGCUUCCUCCACGGAGCCUCGGGGAGCAGACGGUCUUGAGACGAGACUUGCUCCCGCAACCCUUUCCCAGCUGCAGCUGCCUCUCCGCCAUCUCUGCCUCCGUGGCCACGCGGCAUCUUCUCCCUGGCAUGGGCUGAACCACCGCAUCUCGGGCAGGGAAGAAAAAAAUGCUGGCAACUAAACCGUGAGGUCCCUUCAAGAGUAAAAUGGAACCUAAGAGGAAGACGGAACCUAACAGAGAUGUCGGGAGGAGAAGCAGCAUGCAUCUUAGAAUUGAUAAGCACGAUACAUGACGACAGGUGUUUUGGUU